Molecule: transfer RNA, 94 nt
Filed under: Nelumbo nucifera (sacred lotus)
Lineage: Eukaryota; Viridiplantae; Streptophyta; Magnoliopsida; Proteales; Nelumbonaceae
Rfam family: tRNA
About the family: Transfer RNA (tRNA) molecules are approximately 80 nucleotides in length. Their secondary structure includes four short double-helical elements and three loops (D, anti-codon, and T loops).
Source: Rfam by way of RNAcentral
CCGACCUUAGCUCAAUUGGAAGAGUGCAGGACUACAGUAGGCUAUUAGCUACUGGAAGAUCCUUUGGUUGCUGGUUCGAAUCCGGCAGGUCGGG